UAUAACUUAUAGCUUCACAUAACAAUAAAAUAACAAUAGUUAAAAAUUAUAAAAUAUAAAUUACUGUAGUCAAAAUGAAAAAGAAAAAGAAGAAAAAAAUCAUUCUCAUCACUAUUUCACAUAAAAAAAGAUUUAUAAUUAAUAAAAUUGUUUUUAAAUUAAAAUUAUAAUUUCAUAUUUAUAAAAAAAUUUCCACGUUCAAUAUUUGAGUCUGAAGUUGCUAGCACCGAGGGGCUAGCGAAAUAUUACAAUAAAAUAAUUGAAUUGGGAUUGGUUUGCCAGUGAAUCAGUAAUAACAUAAAAUAAAACACCAAUCUAAGGAUAUAUGAAUGCAAUAGCAUUCAUAUAUAUUAAAAUAACAACAACAAAUAUCUAAAUAUAGUUUAUUCAAAAAAUACAAUAAAAUAUUGAUAAAAUUUUAUUAAUUAUCAAGGGUUAAGAAGGUUAAGAAGGAAGAAUAAUAAUCAAUAAAUCAACUAAA
Long non-coding RNA from Microplitis mediator, 481 nucleotides. RefSeq lists it as uncharacterized. The record is from RefSeq and is a predicted model, not a curated record. NCBI's taxonomy places the organism in Eukaryota, Metazoa, Arthropoda, Insecta, Hymenoptera, Braconidae. The transcript is spliced from 3 exons.